This 498-nucleotide ribosomal RNA is filed under the name uncultured bacterium. RNAcentral describes it as "partial 16S ribosomal RNA". It matches the Rfam family "Bacterial small subunit ribosomal RNA", at positions 30 to 523 of the family's 1533-position model. The record is from RNAcentral.
AUUGAACGCUGGCGGCAUGCCUUACACAUGCAAGUCGAACGGUAACAGGUCUUCGGAUGCUGACGAGUGGCGAACGGGUGAGUAAUACAUCGGAACGUGCCUAGUAGUGGGGGAUAACUACUCGAAAGAGUGGCUAAUACCGCAUGAGAUCUAAGGAUGAAAGCAGGGGAUCGCAAGACCUUGUGCCACUAGAGCGGCCGAUGGCAGAUUAGGUAGUUGGUGGGAUAAAAGCUUACCAAGGCGACGAUCUGUAGCUGGUCUGAGAGGACGAUCAGCCACACUGGGACUGAGAAACGGCCCAGACUCCUACGGGAGGCAGCAGUGGGGAAUUUUGGACAAUGGGCGCAAGCCUGAUCCAGCAAUGCCGCGUGCAGGAUGAAGGCCUUCGGGUUGUAAACUGCUUUUGUACGGAACGAAAAGCCCCGGGUUAAUACCCUGGGGUCAUGACGGUACCGUAAGAAUAAGCACCGGCUAACUACGUGCCAGCCGCCGCAGUAA